CUCCUCACAUUCCUCGCCAGGUCGUUGUUUCCUAGCAAUCCUCCUCCUCGGCUGCUGUGUGUUCGGUCACGUUUUUCCUCUUUUUCUCGCCCUUUUAGACUUUGAAAUCAAGCACGUCCGUUGAAUGCGAAUAGAGUGCUAUCGGAAGCCUUUGGCAGAGGUAUUAAAUGAAGCUCAAAUUUUAUGAAACGAAUCUCAAAUUUUAUGAAUAUCACAUCAAAAUAUUAUCGAACAUGAAUAUGUAUAAUCUAUUAAUAUCUGUAUUAAUAAUAUUAUGAAUCUGUAUUAAUAAUAUUAUGACAUAUGAUGAAGACAUCCUAGGUGAAGACAUCCUAGGUAUAGAUGUUGGGGACAGACAUCUAAGCCUAGAUCAAUGCAGAAAUUCAUUGUAACUUUGGCAAAAGUAUCAAACGAAGCUCAAAUUUUAUAAAACGAAGCUCAAAUUUUAUGAAUAUCACACCAGGUCACAGACAAGAUAUUAUCAGGUCACAGACAAGAUAUUAUCGAACUAUUAAUAUGAAUCUGUAUAAUCUGUAUUAAUAAUAUUAUGAUAUAUGAUGAAGAUAUCAAGACAUCCUAGGUAUAGAUGUUGGGGACAGACAUCUAAGCCUAGAUCAAUGCACACACCGAAAUUCAUUGUAACUUUAGCAGAGGUAUCAAACGAAGCUUAAAUUUUAUGAAACGAAGCUCAAAUUUUAUUAAAAUGUAUAAUCUAUUAAUAUGAAUCUGUAUAAUCUAUUAAUAAUGUAUGAGCAACUCACUUGUUUCUUUUCUCCACCAAAAUGUUUUCUGAAGAGGGAAAGUGUUGUAAAUUUGUAGUGAUAAUCUGCGAUUGGCUGUAGGUGAAUGACACAUUCGGAUCAUUUGGAUCCGGAAUCUCCAUGUUAAAUUGCUGGCACAAGUAAUGGAAGAGGGGCUUCUCAUGUUGUCAUGUGCAUGUAAAUAUUGUUCAUUAUGUCCUGAAAUUAGAAAUUAAGAAAAAUAUAAGAAAGAUCAGAAUAGGAAACAAUAACAAUAGGGGCACAAUUUGCUACCUUCUGGAACAUGUCUCCCAUUAUAAUCUUGGCGUGAUAUUUUUUGCCCUCUUUGACGGCCAUGCAAAAUUCAGAAUCCGGAUUGUUAAGUAAAGCUUUUCUAUCCUCCGAUAGCUCUAUGAAUAGAGCAGUAGGUUUGUUAUCAUUAAUAACCUCUAUUGAUCUCUGAAAAAGAAAAUUUCAAGUAUCAACUAGCCUACCUAUUUGAUGUUAGCAAAUGUAAGUAUCAUAGCCUCAAGCCUCACCUUAGCCCGCUGUUUUACACCUAUGCAUAGUUUAUCUCAUUCUCAUUGUUCUUCGUUAAUAAUUCAGUGGAAAAUAACGGCUUAUGAGUAAAGAAUUUAAUACUUUCCAUGAGGAUCACCGACCUGCAUAAGCGACCCAACUCAAAUAGAGUCACUAAGUGCUGAGUCCAAU
RNAcentral lists this long non-coding RNA (1451 nucleotides) under Eucalyptus grandis. RNAcentral describes it as "long non-coding RNA (EGRA_LNC006295)". Lineage: Eukaryota; Viridiplantae; Streptophyta; Magnoliopsida; Myrtales; Myrtaceae. The record is from RNAcentral.